This 253-nucleotide ribosomal RNA is filed under the name uncultured bacterium. Its description in RNAcentral is "partial 16S ribosomal RNA". It matches the Rfam family "Bacterial small subunit ribosomal RNA", at positions 524 to 776 of the family's 1533-position model. The record is from RNAcentral.
GACGUAGGGGGCGAGCGUUGUCCGGAUUUAUUGGGCGUAAAGCGUGCGUAGGCGGCUGCGCAAGUCGGUUGUGAAACCCCGGGGCUCAACCCCGGAACUGCAUCCGAUACUGCGUGGCUAGGGGCAGGUAGGGGAGAUCGGAAUUCCUGGUGUAGCGGUGAAAUGCGCAGAUAUCAGGAGGAACACCGGUGGCGAAGGCGGAUCUCUGGGCCUUACCUGACGCUCAGGCACGAAAGCUAGGGGAGCGAACAGG